AGACCGAUAGCGAACAAGUAGAGUGAUCGAAAGAUGAAAAGCACUUUGGAAAGAGAGUUAAAAAGCACGUGAAAUUGUUGAAAGGGAAGCGCUCACAACCAGACUUCUGGGCGGUGUUCCGCCGGUCUUCUGACCGGUCUACUCGCCGUCCCGAGGCCAACAUCAUCUGGGACCGCUGGAUAAGACCUCAGGAAUGUAGCUUCCCUCGGGAAGUGUUAUAGCCUGUGGUGAUGCAGCGCGUCUCGGGUGAGGUCCGCGCUUCGGCAAGGAUGUUGGCGUAAUGGUUGUCAGCGGCCCGUCUUGAAACACGGACCAAG
This 317-nucleotide ribosomal RNA is filed under the name Ramularia vallisumbrosae. RNAcentral describes it as "eukaryotic LSU rRNA". It matches the Rfam family "Eukaryotic large subunit ribosomal RNA", at positions 331 to 670 of the family's 3401-position model. The record is from RNAcentral. Lineage: Eukaryota; Fungi; Ascomycota; Dothideomycetes; Mycosphaerellales; Mycosphaerellaceae.